GUGCAGUUUCCCUGUCCCACUUAGUCCUGCAAUGUAAAACAUUGCCGUUUUUGAGAAACUGCAAUUACUAUUUUGCAGCACUAAGACUGCCUCCAGUGGCUGAGUGAGGUGCUUCCAUUUCUGAGUCCCUUAAACGGUGCUGGACAUCCUCACGCUGUGCAUGAAGACACCCAGCAUCAGUGAAAUCCCCAUGGGAAAGCAGUCAGGCAAUGCUUUCCUAGUG
Pelobates cultripes (western spadefoot toad) is the source of this 223-nucleotide non-coding RNA. Lineage: Eukaryota; Metazoa; Chordata; Amphibia; Anura; Pelobatidae. The record is from the annotation of a GenBank genome assembly.